CUACGGGGGGAGCAAGCGUUGUCCGGAAUUACUGGGCGUAAAGGGCGUGUAGGCGGCUUGAUAAGUUAGAUGUGAAAGCCUUCUGCUUAACGGAAGAAUUGCAUUUGAUACUGUCAGGCUUGAGUUCGAGAGAGGGUAGUGGAAUUCCCAGUGUAGCGGUGAAAUGCGUAGAUAUUGGGAAGAACACCAGUAGCGAAGGCGGCUACCUGGCUCGUAACUGACGCUAAUGCGCGAAAGCGUGGGGAGCAAACAGGAUUAGAAACCCUAGUAGUCC
This 274-nucleotide ribosomal RNA is filed under the name uncultured bacterium. Its description in RNAcentral is "partial 16S ribosomal RNA". It matches the Rfam family "Bacterial small subunit ribosomal RNA", at positions 523 to 796 of the family's 1533-position model. The record is from RNAcentral.